This 1513-nucleotide ribosomal RNA is filed under the name uncultured bacterium. Its description in RNAcentral is "bacterial SSU rRNA". It matches the Rfam family "Bacterial small subunit ribosomal RNA". The record is from RNAcentral.
AGAGUUUGAUCCUGGCUCAGGAUGAACGCUGGCGGCGUGCUUAACACAUGCAAGUCGAACGGGGAAACAAAAAGGAAGUUUUCGGAUGGAAUUAUUGUUUUCUAGUGGCGGACGGGUGAGUAACGCGUAAACAAUCUGCCUUAGAGAGGGGGAUAACAGAUAGAAAUAUCUGCUAAUACCGCAUAAGACCACAAGCAGGCAUCUGCAAGGGGUAAAAGGAGCAAUCCGCUUUAAGAUGAGUUUGCGUACUAUUAGCUAGUUGGUGAGGUAACGGCCCACCAAGGCGACGAUGGUUAGCCGGCCUGAGAGGGUGAACGGCCACAUUGGAACUGAGAUACGGUCCAGACUCCUACGGGAGGCAGCAGUGAGGAAUAUUGGGCAAUGGGCGAAAGCCUGACCCAGCAACGCCGCGUGAAGGAAGAAGGUUUUAGGAUUGUAAACUUCUGUUGUAAGGGAAAAAGAAAGUGAUGGUACCUUACGAGGAAGCUACGGCAAACUAUGUGCCAGCAGCCGCGGUAAUACAUAGGUAGCGAGCGUUAUCCGGAAUAACUGGGCGUAAAGGGAGUGUAGGUGGUGAAGCAAGUCUAUUGUGAAAGCCCUAGGCUUAACUUAGGGAUUGCAGUAGAAACUGUUUUACUAGAGUGCGAGAGAGGCAAGUGGAAUUCCUAGUGUAGCGGUAGAAUGCGUAGAGAUUAGGAGGAACACCAGAGGCGAAGGCGACUUGCUGGCUCGUAACUGACACUGAGACUCGAAAGCGUGGGGAGCAAAUAGGAUUAGAUACCCUGGUAGUCCACGCCCUAACCGAUGGAUACUAGAUGUGGAGUGAUCGACUCUCUCCGUGUCGAAGCUAACGCGAUAAGUAUCCCGCCUGGGGAGUACGGUCGCAAGAUUAAAACUCAAAGGAAUUGACGGGACCCCGCACAAGCAGCGGAGCAUGUCGUUUAAUUCGACGCAACGCGAAGAACCUUACCAAGGCUUGACAUUUAAUGCAUAAUAUGGAAACAUAUGAAAUUUAGAGUAGCAAUAUUAAAGGCAUUAGGACAGAUGGUGCAUGGUUGUCGUCAGCUCGUGUCGUGAGAUGUUGGGUUAAGUCCCGCAACGAGCGCAACCCUUAUCGUUAGUUACCAGCACUAAGGUGGGAACUCUAGCGAGACUGCCGUUGAUAAAACGGAGGAAGGUGGGGAUGACGUCAAAUCAUCAUGCCUCUUACGCCUUGGGCUACACACGUGCUACAAUGGCUAUUACAAAGAGAAGCGAAAUAGUAAUAUGGAGCAAAACUCAAAAAGAUAGUCUCAGUUCGGAUUGAGGGCUGCAACCCGCCCUCAUGAAGUUGGAGUUGCUAGUAAUCCCGGAUCAGAAUGCCGGGGUGAAUACGUUCUCGGGGUUUGUACACACCGCCCGUCACGCCAUGGGAGUUGGGGGGACCCGAAGCCGGUGAGCUAACCAAUUUAUUGGAGGCAGCUGUCUAAGGUAAAACCAGCGACUGGGGUGAAGUCGUAACAAGGUAGCCGUA